This 463-nucleotide ribosomal RNA is filed under the name uncultured bacterium. RNAcentral describes it as "partial 16S ribosomal RNA". It matches the Rfam family "Bacterial small subunit ribosomal RNA", at positions 28 to 507 of the family's 1533-position model. The record is from RNAcentral.
GACGAACGCUGGCGGCGUGCUUAACACAUGCAAGUCGAACGGUGAACCUCUUCUGAGGGGAUCAGUGUCGAACGGGUGCGUAACACGUGGACAACCUUCCCCCGCCUCUUGGUUAACUCCAAGACAUUGGGGCUAAUACCGGUUGUUCACCUCUUCCCGCCUGGGCGGUGGUGUAAGUGGUUUCCGGGUGGGGAUGGGCCCGCGGCCUAUCAGCUUGUUGGUGGGGUAGUGGCCUACUAAGGCGACGACGGUUAGCCGGCCUGCGGGGGUGACCGGCCACACUGGGACUGAGAAACGGCCCAGACUACUAGGGGAGGAAGCAGUGGGGAAUAUGGAGGAAUGGGCGGAAGCCGGACGCAGAGAGGCCGAGUGGGGGAUGACGGCCUUCGGGUUGGAAACCUCUUACAGCAGGGAAGAAGCGCAAGUGACGGUACCGGCAGAAGAAGCACCGGCCAACUACGUG